GGCGAAGGCUGCUGUCUAGUUGAGUUGCUUCUGUAGCAGGAACAGUCAGUGUCAUUAAUUUUCUUCUGCACCGUGUGGGCUGUAGAACAUGAUGGAUCACAUUGCCACUUCAAAACGGGAGUCUUCCGAGGCAGCCCUAGAUUUGAGUGGUCUGACCAUGUUCGCCAGAAGAACAGACACACAUGUGUGAAGUAGAGAGACACAGGAGAAAGAAAGAAAGAAAGAAAAGAUUUGCCCUCUGUAAAUGCUUCCUUUGUGCUUUCCAGACAAGAGUUUCUGACACGUCGUGGGAACACUGAAGAAGUCAGUCUUCAGGGUGUUUUCAUUCAGGGGGUGGCUUGAGAUGGAUUAAUGGCAGAUCACAAUAAAUUAUU
Nannospalax galili (Upper Galilee mountains blind mole rat) is the source of this 374-nucleotide long non-coding RNA. RefSeq lists it as uncharacterized. NCBI's taxonomy places the organism in Eukaryota, Metazoa, Chordata, Mammalia, Rodentia, Spalacidae. The record is from RefSeq and is a predicted model, not a curated record. The transcript has 3 exons.